GACGAACGCUGGCGGCGUGCUUAACACAUGCAAGUCGAACGGAAAGGCCCUGCUUUUGUGGGGUGCUCGAGUGGCGAACGGGUGAGUAACACGUGAGUAACCUGCCCUUGACUUUGGGAUAACUUCAGGAAACUGGGGCUAAUACCGGAUAGGAGCUCCUGCUGCAUGGUGGGGGUUGGAAAGUUUCGGCGGUUGGGGAUGGACUCGCGGCUUAUCAGCUUGUUGGUGGGGUAGUGGCUUACCAAGGCUUUGACGGGUAGCCGGCCUGAGAGGGUGACCGGCCACAUGGGGACUGAGAGACGGCCCAGACGCCUACGGGAGGCAGCAGGGGGGAAUAUUGCACAAUGGGCGGAAGCCUGAUGCAGCAACGCCGCGUGCGGGAUGACGGCCUUCGGGUUGUAAACCGCUUUCGCCUGUGACGAAGCGUGAGUGACGGUAAUGGGUAAAGAAGCACCGGCUAACUACGUG
This 468-nucleotide ribosomal RNA is filed under the name uncultured bacterium. Its description in RNAcentral is "partial 16S ribosomal RNA". It matches the Rfam family "Bacterial small subunit ribosomal RNA", at positions 28 to 507 of the family's 1533-position model. The record is from RNAcentral.